ACAUGUCUCCAAAUCAUCACAGCAUUCCCUAGGCCUGUCAUAGUGUCCCGUGCUAGAGCAAUCUGUGGCCCCGAACCAUUGCCUGGCCUCUGCCUGUAUGCUACUGGCACUGAAGUGGGUCGCACAGUG
Arvicola amphibius (Eurasian water vole) is the source of this 129-nucleotide small nucleolar RNA. RefSeq annotates it as small nucleolar RNA SNORA42/SNORA80 family. The transcript has a single exon. Lineage: Eukaryota; Metazoa; Chordata; Mammalia; Rodentia; Cricetidae. The record is from RefSeq and is a predicted model, not a curated record.